Molecule: ribosomal RNA, 620 nt
Filed under: uncultured bacterium
Lineage: Bacteria
Description: bacterial SSU rRNA
Rfam family: Bacterial small subunit ribosomal RNA
Source: RNAcentral
CCUACGGGAGGCAGCAGUGGGGAAUUUUGGACAAUGGGGGCAACCCUGAUCCAGCAAUGCCGCGUGAGUGAAGAAGGCCUUCGGGUUGUAAAGCUCUUUUGUCAGGGAAGAAACGGUGAGUUCUAAUACAACUUGCUAAUGACGGUACCUGAAGAAUAAGCACCGGCUAACUACGUGCCAGCAGCCGCGGUAAUACGUAGGGUGCAAGCGUUAAUCGGAAUUACUGGGCGUAAAGCGUGCGCAGGCGGUUAUAUAAGACAGAGGUGAAAUCCCCGGGCUCAACCUGGGAACUGCCUUUGUGACUGUAUGGCUAGAGUGUGUCAGAGGGGGGUAGAAUUCCACGUGUAGCAGUGAAAUGCGUAGAUAUGUGGAGGAAUACCGAUGGCGAAGGCAGCCCCCUGGGAUAACACUGACGCUCAUGCACGAAAGCGUGGGGAGCAAACAGGAUUAGAUACCCUGGUAGUCCACGCCCUAAACGAUGUCUACUAGUUGUCGGGACUUAAUUGUCUUGGUAACGNAGCUAACGCGUGAAGUAGCCGCCUGGGGAGUACGGUCGCAAGAUUAAAACCUUAAAGGGAAUUGACCGGNGNGAGAGNGCGACGACGACGACGAGGGAGAGG